RNAcentral lists this ribosomal RNA (525 nucleotides) under uncultured bacterium. RNAcentral's name for it is "bacterial SSU rRNA". It matches the Rfam family "Bacterial small subunit ribosomal RNA", at positions 355 to 896 of the family's 1533-position model. The record is from RNAcentral.
UGGGGAAUUUUGCGCAAUGGGGGAAACCCUGACGCAGCAACGCCGCGUGGAGGAUGAAGUCCUUCGGGACGUAAACUCCUUUCGAUCGGGACGAUUAUGACGGUACCGGAAGAAGAAGCCCCGGCUAACUUCGUGCCAGCAGCCGCGGUAAUACGAGGGGGGCGAGCGUUGUUCGGAAUUAUUGGGCGUAAAGGGUGCGUAGGCGGCUUGGUAAGUCUUAUGUGAAAUCUAUGGGCUCAACUCAUAGACUGCAUGAGAAACUGCCGGGCUCGAGUGUGGGAGAGGUGAGUGGAAUUUCCGGUGUAGCGGUGAAAUGCGUAGAUAUCGGAAGGAACACCUGUGGCGAAAGCGGCUCACUGGACCACAACUGACGCUGAUGCACGAAAGCUAGGGGAGCAAACAGGAUUAGAUACCCUGGUAGUCCUAGCCCUAAACGAUGAUUGCUUGGUGUGACGGGUACCCAAUCCCGCCGUGCCGUAGCUAACGCGUUAAGCAAUCCGCCUGGGGAGUACGGUCGCAAGGCUG